UACGUAGGGUGCGAGCGUUAAUCGGAAUUACUGGGCGUAAAGCGUGCGCAGGCGGCUUUGCAAGUCAGAUGUGAAAUCCCCGGGCUUAACCUGGGAACUGCAUUUGUGACUGCAUGGCUGGAGUGCGGCAGAGGGGGAUGGAAUUCCGCGUGUAGCAGUGAAAUGCGUAGAUAUGCGGAGGAACACCGAUGGCGAAGGCAAUCCCCUGGGCCUGCACUGACGCUGAGGCACGAAAGCGUGGGGAGCAAACAGG
Molecule: ribosomal RNA, 253 nt
Filed under: uncultured bacterium
Lineage: Bacteria
Description: partial 16S ribosomal RNA
Rfam family: Bacterial small subunit ribosomal RNA
Source: RNAcentral